This 468-nucleotide ribosomal RNA is filed under the name uncultured bacterium. Its description in RNAcentral is "partial 16S ribosomal RNA". It matches the Rfam family "Bacterial small subunit ribosomal RNA", at positions 28 to 507 of the family's 1533-position model. The record is from RNAcentral.
GACGAACGCUGGCGGCGUGCUUAACACAUGCAAGUCGAACGGAAAGGCCCUGCUUUUGUGGGGUGCUCGAGUGGCGAACGGGUGAGUAACACGUGAGUAACCUGCCCUUGACUUUGGGAUAACUUCAGGAAACUGGGGCUAAUACCGGAUAGGAGCUCCUGCUGCAUGGUGGGGGUUGGAAAGUUUCGGCGGUUGGGGAUGGACUCGCGGCUUAUCAGCUUGUUGGUGGGGUAGUGGCUUACCAAGGCUUUGACGGGUAGCCGGCCUGAGAGGGUGACCGGCCACAUUGGGACUGAGAUACGGCCCAGACUCGUACGGGAGGCAGCAGUGGGGAAUAUUGCACAAUGGGCGGAAGCCUGAUGCAGCAACGCCGCGUGCGGGAUGACGGCCUUCGGGGUGUAAACCGCUUUCGCCUGUGACGAAGCGUGAGUGACGGUAAUGGGUAAAGAAGCACCGGCUAACUACGUG